RNAcentral lists this ribosomal RNA (253 nucleotides) under uncultured Allobosea sp. Its description in RNAcentral is "uncultured Bosea sp. partial 16S ribosomal RNA". It matches the Rfam family "Bacterial small subunit ribosomal RNA", at positions 524 to 776 of the family's 1533-position model. Lineage: Bacteria; Pseudomonadati; Pseudomonadota; Alphaproteobacteria; Hyphomicrobiales; Alloboseaceae. The record is from RNAcentral.
UACGAAGGGGGCUAGCGUUGUUCGGAAUCAUUGGGCGUAAAGGGCGCGUAGGCGGACUCUUAAGUCGGGGGUGAAAUCCUGUGGCUCAACCACAGAACGGCCUUCGAUACUGGGAGCCUGGAGUUCGAGAGAGGUUGGUGGAACUGCGAGUGUAGAGGUGAAAUUCGUAGAUAUUCGCAAGAACACCAGUGGCGAAGGCGGCCAACUGGCUCGAUACUGACGCUGAGGCGCGAAAGCAUGGGGAGCAAACAGG